RNAcentral lists this ribosomal RNA (499 nucleotides) under uncultured bacterium. RNAcentral describes it as "partial 16S ribosomal RNA". It matches the Rfam family "Bacterial small subunit ribosomal RNA", at positions 28 to 507 of the family's 1533-position model. The record is from RNAcentral.
GACGAACGCUGGCGGCGUGCCUAAUACAUGCAAGUCGAGCGAAGUUUUUCUGGUGCUUGCACUAGAAAAACUUAGCGGCGAACGGGUGAGUAACACGUAAAGAACCUGCCUCAUAGACUGGGACAACUAUUGGAAACGAUAGCUAAUACCGGAUAACAGUAUUUCUCGCAUGAGAGAUAUUUAAAAGUUGGUUAUGCUAACACUAUGAGAUGGCUUUGCGGUGCAUUAGCUAGUUGGCGGGGUAAAGGCCCACCAAGGCGACGAUGCAUAGCCGACCUGAGAGGGUGAUCGGCCACACUGGGACUGAGACACGGCCCAGACUCCUACGGGAGGCAGCAGUAGGGAAUCUUCCGCAAUGGGCGAAAGCCUGACGGAGCAACGCCGCGUGAGUGAAGAAGGAGUUCGGUUCGUAAAGCUCUGUUGUUAGGGAAGAAUGGAUAUGUAGUAACUAUACAUGUAAGAGACGGUACCUAACCAGAAAGCCACGGCUAACUACGUG